GGCGGCGUGCCUAAUACCAUGCAAGUCGAACGGGCUUUUCUAUGGAAGCUUGCUUCCACUGAGAAGAUAGUGGCGAACGGGUGAGUAACACGUGGGUAACCUGCCCAUAAGAGGGGGGAUAACAUCCGGAAACGGGUGCUAAUACCGCAUAGUUUUCUUGAUCGCAUGAUCGGGAAAGGAAAGACGGCCUUUGUGCUGUCGCUUAUGGGUGGACCCGCGGCGUAUUAGUUAGUUGGUGAGGUAACGGCUCACCAAGACGAUGAUACGUAGCCGACCUGAGAGGGUGAUCGGCCACAUUGGGACUGAGACACGGCCCAAACUCCUACGGGAGGCAGCAGUAGGGAAUCUUCCGCAAUGGACGAAAGUCUGACGGAGCAACGCCGCGUGAGUGAAAGAAGGUUUUCGGAUCGUAAAACUCUGUUGUCAGAGAAGAACAAGUUGGAGAGUAACUGCUCCAGCCUUGACGGUAUCUGACCAGAAAGCCACGGCUAACUACGUGCCAGCCGCCGC
Molecule: ribosomal RNA, 510 nt
Filed under: uncultured bacterium
Lineage: Bacteria
Description: bacterial SSU rRNA
Rfam family: Bacterial small subunit ribosomal RNA
Source: RNAcentral